This 1368-nucleotide ribosomal RNA is filed under the name Triticum aestivum (bread wheat). RNAcentral's name for it is "partial small subunit ribosomal RNA". Lineage: Eukaryota; Viridiplantae; Streptophyta; Magnoliopsida; Poales; Poaceae. The record is from RNAcentral.
AUGGCGGCGGCGGCACCGCUCCGGCCCCUCAGGGCCUCCAUUGCGCUACUCCUCCUCGCCCUCGCCCUCUCCGCGCUCGUGCCGUCGUCGGAUGCGUACGAUUCGCUUGAUCCGGUUGGGAACAUUACGAUCAAGUGGGAUGUGAAGAAGUGGAGCCAUGAUGGCUACGUGGCUACUGUCUCACUCUACAACUACCAGCAGUAUCGCCACAUCCAAGCGCCGGGAUGGAAGCUCGGCUGGGUGUGGGCGGGGAAAGAAAUAAUCUGGAAAAUGUCCGGCGCCCAAACCACGGAGCAGGGCGAUUGCUCCAGGUUCAGAGAGGAGCCGCCGCCGCACUGCUGCCGGACGGACCCGGAGGUGGUGGACUUCCUUCCGGGGGCAGCCUACAGCAAGCAGACCCCAAACUGCUGCAAAGGAGGAGUCCUCAGCUCAUGGGGACAGGACCCCGCCAACGCCAUUGCCACAUUUGAUGUCACUGUUGGUCAGGCAGGGACUUCCAACAGCUCUGUCAAGGCGCCCACGAAUUUCACCCUCAAGGCCCCUGGGCCAGGGUACACCUGCGGGCCUGCAAAGGAGGUAGAGCCUACCAAGUUCAUUGACAAGGAUGGGGAUGGGAGGAGGACGACCCAGGCCAUCAAGACAUGGAAUGUGACGUGCACAUAUUCGCAGUUCGGCGCGGGACGAUCCCCGACGUGCUGCGUUGUGCUCUCAUCGUUUUACAACAGCACCAUCGUCGACUGCAAUAAGUGCUCAUGUGGCUGCCAAGAUAACAGCACAAACCCAGUGAGUUGUAUCAAGCCCAACUCACCUUAUCUGGCUUCUGUCGUGCCCGGGGAUAGCACCAACAUCCCGGUACCUCUCGUGCAAUGCUCUCCUCAUAUGUGCCCAAUAAGGGUGCACUGGCACGUCAAGGCUAACUACAAGGAAUACUGGAGGGUGAAGAUCACGGCGACAAACCUCAACUACCUGAUGAACUACUCGCAGUGGAACCUCGUCGCGCAGCACCCGAACUUCAACAACCUGACCACUAUCUUCAGCUUCAGAUACAAAGAUCUGAACCCUUAUGGAACAAUAAACGACACCGGGAUGAUGUGGGGCAUCAAGUACUACAAUGACCUGCUCAUGACUGCCCAGCAUAAUGGAAAUGUUCAGUCUGAGCUUUUGUUCCGGAAGGACCCGGCAACCUUCACCUUCCAGAAAGGAUGGGCGUUUCCGAGGCGAGUGUACUUCAACGGCGAGAACUGCGUGAUGCCGCCUCCAGAUGCGUACCCAUGGCUGCCGAACGAUUCUCAUCGACUGUCGGCAUCACUUACCAUUCCAUUCAUAACCGUUUGGGCAGCAUUGGCAUUCUUUCUGGUUCAUGUGUAG